This 74-nucleotide transfer RNA is filed under the name Bacteroidetes oral taxon 274 str. F0058. Its description in RNAcentral is "tRNA-Gln". It matches the Rfam family "tRNA". From Rfam's summary of the family: Transfer RNA (tRNA) molecules are approximately 80 nucleotides in length. RNAcentral also lists the same sequence under 1 other name. The record is from RNAcentral. Lineage: Bacteria; Pseudomonadati; Bacteroidota.
UGCCUUGUAGUGUAAUGGUAGCACAUCAGUUUCUGGCACUGCUUGUCUGGGUUCGAAUCCUUGCAAGGCAACAA